AUUAUAUUAUGAAUGUUGUUUUCCUGGAUCCAACCAAAAGUAUGCUUCAACUACAAGCCUACCCCUUUACUUAAAUACAUCACACUGCUUGUUUAAGUACAUCUAUGGCAAGUGUCUGGGGACAUGCCCCCCAAGGCUGGGAACAUACCCCCAUGCUUUAAAUGGCUCCUAAACAGAUUAAUGUGAGCACGUCUGUGUUACGGUUGUUAAAUGCAGUCUUGUCUAUAGCUGUAAAAAGAUUUUGCUAAAUAAAUAAAUUGUAAGGACUACUCAUAAGUGAGUGUUAGAAAAAAACAUGUUUCUGAAAUUAUAUCUACAGGUUCUAUUCUUCCAUUUAAUUAAUGACUGGAGAAGUACUUGGUUUUAAACAGGGCAUGGCAUCUCAUGUUGUGCCCUCCCACCAUCUUUAAACGUAUCCAGUUGCGACUGUAUAGC
Non-coding RNA from Pelobates cultripes (western spadefoot toad), 435 nucleotides. Lineage: Eukaryota; Metazoa; Chordata; Amphibia; Anura; Pelobatidae. The record is from the annotation of a GenBank genome assembly.